GUCAGGAUGGCCGAGUGGUCUAAGGCUCCAGACUCAAUCUGUGGAGGUGUGGGUUCAAAUCCCACUUCUGACA
Cololabis saira (Pacific saury) is the source of this 73-nucleotide non-coding RNA. NCBI's taxonomy places the organism in Eukaryota, Metazoa, Chordata, Actinopteri, Beloniformes, Belonidae. The record is from the annotation of a RefSeq genome assembly.